Molecule: ribosomal RNA, 254 nt
Filed under: uncultured bacterium
Lineage: Bacteria
Description: partial 16S ribosomal RNA
Rfam family: Bacterial small subunit ribosomal RNA
Source: RNAcentral
UACGUAGGGGGCAAGCGUUGUCCGGAUUUAUUGGGCGUAAAGAGCGUGUAGGCGGCCAUACAGGUCAGCUGUGAAAACUCGAGGCUCAACCUCGAGACGUCGGUUGAAACCGUUUGGCUAGAGUCCGGAAGAGGAGAGUGGAAUUCCCGGUGUAGCGGUGAAAUGCGCAGAUAUCGGGAAGAACACCCGUGGCGAAGGCAGGCUUCUGGGUACUACCUGACACUGCUAGGACGAAAGCGUGGGGAGCGAAUGGG